AUGGAACUCUCCUGGUCCUCCUCGCUGCUUCUUCUCAUCCCUCUCCUACCUCUUGUUUACUUUCUCUACUUGCGUCAGGACCCCAAGAAGCAGCCUCACGCCCAUGGGCUCAAGGUCUACCCCAUUCUCGGCACGCUGCCACACCUCGUGAAGAACAAAGACCACUUCCUCGAGUGGUACACCGGCGUCAUGCAGAGCAGCCCCACACAUACCAUGGUCUUCAAGGUGAUCGGUCUCACCGGCCAAGCCAUCACGGCCGACCCGGCAAACGUGGAGCACAUACUCAAGACUAACUUUGGGAAUUACCCCAAAGGCGAGCUUACCGUCUCCAUGUUCGAGGACUUCCUUGGCCACGGCAUCUUCAACUCUGAUGGCGACGAGUGGCUGUGGCAGCGCAAGGCAGCUAGCUACGAGUUCAACAAGCGCUCGCUUAGGAACUUCAUGGUGGAUGUCGUCCGUUUCGAGGCAGUCGAGCGGCUGGUGCCGCUGCUGCAGCGAGCGGCGCGCGACGCCCAGACCCUCGACGUUCAGGACGUGCUGGAGCGCUUUGCAUUCGACAACAUCUGCGGCGUGGCCUUCGGCGAAGACCCAGGCUGCCUGGCCGUCGCCGACGAGGGCAUGGCCGCGCCCCAGAGCGCGGAGUUCAUGUCCGCGUUCAACGACGCGCAGAACACGAUCGUGGCCCGGGUCAUGUCGCCUAUCAAGUGGAAGUGGCUGUGGCGCGUGAAGAGGUUGCUCGACAUAGAGCCGGAGAGGCGGAUGCGCUUGGCGCUUGCGACGAUCCACGGCUACGCUGACAAGAUCGUUCGUGAGCGUAGGGAGAGUGGAGAGGAUGGGCUGGCGCGGAGGGACGACUCUCUUCUGUCGCGCUUCGCUGCGGCUGGUGAGCACAGCGAUAAGAGCCUCCGCGACGUGGUCACCAACUUCAUCCUUGCCGGCCGCGACACGACAUCGUCGGCGCUAACCUGGUUCUUCUGGUUAGUGUCCACGCGGCCCGACGUGGAGGACAAGAUCAUGAGCGAGAUCGGCGCGGCCGGCCCUGUCCGCGCGGUGCGCGUGUCAGGAGUAGGCGCAUCCACUUUCAGCUUGGACGAGCUGCGCGAAAUGCACUACCUCCACUCGGCCAUCACCGAGUCCAUGCGGCUGUACUUGCCGGUGGCUGCCGACGUGCACAGCUGCAAGGAGGACGAUGUCCUUCCGGACGGCACAUUCAUCGGCAAAGGGUGGCUGAUGACAUACUGCGCUUUCGCGAUGGCGUGGUUGGAGAGCAUCUGGGGCGAGGACUGCCAGGAGUUCAGGCCGGAGAGGUGGCUCGACGGAGAGGGCGUGUUCCGGCCGGCAAGCUCGUUCAUGUACCCUGUCUUCCACGCGGGGCCGAGGAUGUGCCUCGGAAAAGAGAUGGCCUACAUCCAGAUGAAGUACAUCGUGGCGUGCGUGUUGGAGAGGUUCAGCCUCCGGUACGUCGGAGGCGAGGGGCAUCCAAAGCUCGAAAUGUCAAUGACGCUGCGGAUGGGACGCGGCUUGCCAAUGCAGGUGAAGAACAAGGGAGGCUAG
This 1554-nucleotide ribosomal RNA is filed under the name Triticum aestivum (bread wheat). Its description in RNAcentral is "partial small subunit ribosomal RNA". The record is from RNAcentral. Lineage: Eukaryota; Viridiplantae; Streptophyta; Magnoliopsida; Poales; Poaceae.